UAGAUUUUAUAUUAGGGUUGGACCUCAUCUGGCAGCACGGAAUCGCAUUUGUUCCGCCUGUGCUACCACGUGCUGCAGUGUGAUGCCGCAUGCGAACGCGCGCUGUCGCAUUCCGCAGACAAAAAAGGCGAUCGCGAUAGCAAGUGAUCGGCGGUGAAAGGAUGUGUUAGCAUGCUAUCGCGCGCUUCAGCGUUCCGGAGUCUCCCUGCCGACCAUUGCAUUUUGUCCGUGAUGCCGAUCGUCUCGAGGAUUUCGCCGCGUGCUAUCGCAUUAUGCUUUCUGUCUCGGUCUAUCAAAUGGCAGUUCUAAGCGACAGAAAGAGAAAGGGCGACGGAAAAAGGCGAUCCCUUGCUGCCAGAUGAGGUCCAACCCUAUAUUGGGUGCAUAUUAAUAGG
Long non-coding RNA from Aricia agestis (brown argus), 395 nucleotides. RefSeq lists it as uncharacterized. The transcript has 4 exons. The record is from RefSeq and is a predicted model, not a curated record. Lineage: Eukaryota; Metazoa; Arthropoda; Insecta; Lepidoptera; Lycaenidae.